RNAcentral lists this ribosomal RNA (814 nucleotides) under Streptomyces thermocarboxydus. Its description in RNAcentral is "bacterial SSU rRNA". It matches the Rfam family "Bacterial small subunit ribosomal RNA", at positions 76 to 903 of the family's 1533-position model. Lineage: Bacteria; Bacillati; Actinomycetota; Actinomycetes; Kitasatosporales; Streptomycetaceae. The record is from RNAcentral.
CCCUUCGGGGUGGAUUAGUGGCGAACGGGUGAGUAACACGUGGGCAAUCUGCCCUGCACUCUGGGACAAGCCCUGGAAACGGGGUCUAAUACCGGAUACUGAUCGCCUUGGGCAUCCUUGGUGAUCGAAAGCUCCGGCGGUGCAGGAUGAGCCCGCGGCCUAUCAGCUUGUUGGUGAGGUAAUGGCUCACCAAGGCGACGACGGGUAGCCGGCCUGAGAGGGCGACCGGCCACACUGGGACUGAGACACGGCCCAGACUCCUACGGGAGGCAGCAGUGGGGAAUAUUGCACAAUGGGCGAAAGCCUGAUGCAGCGACGCCGCGUGAGGGAUGACGGCCUUCGGGUUGUAAACCUCUUUCAGCAGGGAAGAAGCGAAAGUGACGGUACCUGCAGAAGAAGCGCCGGCUAACUACGUGCCAGCAGCCGCGGUAAUACGUAGGGCGCGAGCGUUGUCCGGAAUUAUUGGGCGUAAAGAGCUCGUAGGCGGCUUGUCACGUCGGUUGUGAAAGCCCGGGGCUUAACCCCGGGUCUGCAGUCGAUACGGGCAGGCUAGAGUUCGGUAGGGGAGAUCGGAAUUCCUGGUGUAGCGGUGAAAUGCGCAGAUAUCAGGAGGAACACCGGUGGCGAAGGCGGAUCUCUGGGCCGAUACUGACGCUGAGGAGCGAAAGCGUGGGGAGCGAACAGGAUUAGAUACCCUGGUAGUCCACGCCGUAAACGGUGGGCACUAGGUGUGGGCGACAUUCCACGUCGUCCGUGCCGCAGCUAACGCAUUAAGUGCCCCGCCUGGGGAGUACGGCCGCAAGGCUAAAACUCA